RNAcentral lists this transfer RNA (77 nucleotides) under Alphaproteobacteria bacterium CG_4_10_14_0_8_um_filter_53_9. RNAcentral's name for it is "tRNA-Met". It matches the Rfam family "tRNA". From Rfam's summary of the family: Transfer RNA (tRNA) molecules are approximately 80 nucleotides in length. The record is from RNAcentral. Lineage: Bacteria; Pseudomonadati; Pseudomonadota; Alphaproteobacteria.
GGCGCCUUAGCUCAGUUGGUUAGAGCAGCGGAAUCAUAAUCCGAAGGUCCCCUGUUCGAGUCAGGGAGGCGCCACCA